UUCAGUGGUGAUGGCUGCAGGGAUCCACCUGUUCCCAUACCGAACACAGCAGUUAAGCCUGCAAACGCCGAAAGUACUUGGGUGGAAGCGCCCUGGGAGGAUAGGAAGCCGCUGAUU
Molecule: ribosomal RNA, 117 nt
Organism: Megasphaera cerevisiae DSM 20462
Lineage: Bacteria; Bacillati; Bacillota; Negativicutes; Veillonellales; Veillonellaceae
Source: Rfam